This 433-nucleotide ribosomal RNA is filed under the name uncultured bacterium. RNAcentral describes it as "partial 16S ribosomal RNA". It matches the Rfam family "Bacterial small subunit ribosomal RNA", at positions 29 to 507 of the family's 1533-position model. The record is from RNAcentral.
AACGAACGCUGGCGGCAUGCCUAACACAUGCAAGUCGAACGAGACCUUCGGGUCUAGUGGCGCACGGGUGCGUAACGCGUGGGAACCUGCCUUUAGGUUCGGAAUAACUCAGAGAAAUUUGAGCUAAUACCGGAUGAUGUCUUCGGACCAAAGAUUUAUCGCCUUUAGAUGGGCCCGCGUUGGAUUAGCUAGUUGGUGGGGUAAAGGCCUACCAAGGCGACGAGCCAUAGCUGGUCUGAGAGGAUGAUCAGCCACACUGGGACUGAGACACGGCCCAGACUCCUACGGGAGGCAGCAGUGGGGAAUAUUGGACAAUGGGCGAAAGCAUGAUCCAGCAAUGCCGCGUGAGUGAUGAAGGACUUAGGGUUGUAAAGCUCUUUUACCCGAGAUGAUAAUGACAGUAUCGGGAGAAUAAGCUCCGGCUAACUCCGUG